This is a long non-coding RNA of Oryza sativa Japonica Group (Japanese rice), 1115 nucleotides long. RefSeq lists it as uncharacterized. The record is from RefSeq and is a predicted model, not a curated record. Lineage: Eukaryota; Viridiplantae; Streptophyta; Magnoliopsida; Poales; Poaceae.
CAACCUUAUCCUCCUCCCAGAGUAACACCUUUCACACAUCCCUUUUCCCUUUCUCCGCGUCGGCGCGUCCAAAUCCUCCCGCUCCUCCUCCCCUUGAACUCCUCGCCGGAGCAACGGAUCCACCGGCUCUGACGCCGACAAACGCGGGUCAGCUAGAUCCAGCGCCACCUGCUCCAUACUCCCCCGAAUAUUCCACUUACGAGCCCUGCCGCCACGUCUGGAGGUCAUGUUCCCCACUUCGGUGCUGCCGCCGUACUUGCGGCUCUCCCCCUCUUCCUGCUGCUCCAGCUCUAGCCCUCCCUCCGCAACAUCCUCUCCUUUGCCCUACUCGCCGGAGCAAUGGGGAUACCAGACUGCCGGCGAUGAGUCCGGGGCAGCCAGAUCCAGCGCCACCUCACCCAUGGCAGUUGCUCCGGCGCGACGAUGGCCAGGGGCCGCGCUGCCCUCCUCAGGUUAAUACAGAAGUUAGGUGAAGAAGGACCCGGGCAAGACUUACAGGCAAGCUACCUCUCCAUGAAGAUUGGAGGCAUGUUCCAAGAAGUCAUUGCAAUGUUUGUUCCAGUACUGAACCAAUCUAGCUCGGCUCCAUUUCAAGCCAUCAUAGGCACCACCUCAGACAUUCUACUCGCUGCAAAGCCAGGGAGCCAUUUCUCUCUCUCAGGACAAUGACAAGCAUUGGGAUAGCCAAGGCAGUAGAUUCUCAAUCAAUUGGUGCUCUGUCUACUAGGUGAAGAGUGACAAAUAAAGAAUGUAAAUGACCAACACCAAAGCAGGAUCUGCAAGUCAACUGGCUCAUCUGCAUAUUAUUUGAGGUGUUGUCGGACUGCCUGCGAUGCCAUUCGUCAACUCUUUUCUAGUUGCACUACCUCUUUGGUUAUCUAAGCUUAAGAAUUAAUAUUCAAAUUACAUCUCAGAUGUAGCUGAUGAGAUUGACAUUGCUAUUGUUUCAUAUUAGAUUGUUGCCAAACUGAUUAAUUGUACGUGGAUGUCAAUGCAUUGAAAUCCAUUCUACCAUUGUAUUUGUGAUCAUCUGUGAUGUGUUAUUAGGAUCCUACUAUUCUGAUGGAAGUAAAUAAUAUAAAUGAAUCAGCAAACCCAUUUUAGUUUGCCCUCAA